CUACGGGUGGCUGCAGUGGGGAAUAUUGCACAAUGGAGGAAACUCUGAUGCAGCAACGCCGCGUGGAGGAUGACACUUUUCGGAGCGUAAACUCCUUUUAUAUAGGAAGAAGAUGACGGUACUAUAUGAAUAAGCGCCGGCUAACUCCGUGCCAGCAGCCGCGGUAAUACGGGGGGCGCAAGCGUUACUCGGAAUCACUGGGCGUAAAGGGCGUGUAGGCGGAUUAAAAAGUCAGAAGUGAGAUCCUAUAGCUUAACUAUAGAACUGCUUCUGAAACUCUUAAUCUAGAAUAUGGGAGAGGUAGAUGGAAUUUCUGGUGUAGGGGUAAAAUCCGUAGAGAUCAGAAGGAAUACCGAUUGCGAAGGCGAUCUACUAGAACAUUAUUGACGCUGAGACGCGAAAGCGUGGGGAGCAAACAGGAUUAGAUACCCGUGUAGUC
This 439-nucleotide ribosomal RNA is filed under the name uncultured bacterium. RNAcentral's name for it is "partial 16S ribosomal RNA". It matches the Rfam family "Bacterial small subunit ribosomal RNA", at positions 339 to 795 of the family's 1533-position model. The record is from RNAcentral.